RNAcentral lists this ribosomal RNA (332 nucleotides) under uncultured eukaryote. RNAcentral's name for it is "partial 18S ribosomal RNA". It matches the Rfam family "Eukaryotic small subunit ribosomal RNA", at positions 1470 to 1796 of the family's 1831-position model. The record is from RNAcentral.
CCCUUAGAUGUUCUGGGCCGCACGCGCGCUACACUGUUCGACGCAGCGAGUCUUAACCUUGACCGAAAGGUUUGGGUAAUCUUCAGCAAAGUCGAACGUGAUGGGGAUCGAUCAUUGCAAUUAUUGAUCGUGAACGAGGAAUUCCUAGUAAGUGCAAGUCAUCAGCUUGCGCUGAUUACGUCCCUGCCCUUUGUACACACCGCCCGUCGCUACUACCGAUUGAAUGGUUUAGUGAGAUCUCUGGAUUGACGCUGGCUAGGGGGCGACCCUUGGCCAGACUGCUCGAGAAACUGCUCAAACUUGAUCAUUUAGAGGAAGUAUAAGUCGUAACA